This 265-nucleotide unclassified non-coding RNA is filed under the name Hevea brasiliensis (rubber tree). Lineage: Eukaryota; Viridiplantae; Streptophyta; Magnoliopsida; Malpighiales; Euphorbiaceae. The record is from RNAcentral.
UAAAUUCAUGGGCAAAAUCGAGCAUUUAGCUUUUAACAAGCUAAUUAUUUCCAUUCGUGGCUUUAAUUCCCAGGUUAAAAGGGGAAUAGUGAUUCCCUUAGUUGUGUGAAUCGAAUUCCCUAGUUUGUGGGAAUGAGAAUGAAAAAAACGAGUUUCUAAACACCCACAAAGGGAAUCAUUCCGUUUCCUGGGUCAAUUUUUGGUGAAUCAAACAAACCUAGAUUGUUUUACACAUCAAAAUGUCUAGUUAAAUUAAUGUUGCAAU